RNAcentral lists this ribosomal RNA (944 nucleotides) under Citrobacter sp. S46_ASV_140. RNAcentral describes it as "partial 23S ribosomal RNA". It matches the Rfam family "Bacterial large subunit ribosomal RNA", at positions 1 to 986 of the family's 2925-position model. The record is from RNAcentral. Lineage: Bacteria; Pseudomonadati; Pseudomonadota; Gammaproteobacteria; Enterobacterales; Enterobacteriaceae.
GGUUAAGCGACUAAGCGUACACGGUGGAUGCCCUGGCAGUCAGAGGCGAUGAAGGACGUGCUAAUCUGCGAUAAGCGUCGGUAAGGUGAUAUGAACCGUUAUAACCGGCGAUUUCCGAAUGGGGAAACCCAGUGUGAUUCGUCACACUAUCAUUACGUGAAUACAUAGCGUAAUGAAGCGAACCGGGGGAACUGAAACAUCUAAGUACCCCGAGGAAAAGAAAUCAACCGAGAUUCCCCCAGUAGCGGCGAGCGAACGGGGAGCAGCCCAGAGUCUGAAUCAGCAUGUGUGGUAGUGGAACGGUCUGGAAAGUCCGGCGAUACAGGGUGAUAGCCCCGUACACAAAAGUGCAUGUGUUGUGAACUCGAAGAGUAGGGCGGGACACGUGGUAUCCUGUCUGAAUAUGGGGGGACCAUCCUCCAAGGCUAAAUACUCCUGACUGACCGAUAGUGAACCAGUACCGUGAGGGAAAGGCGAAAAGAACCCCGGCGAGGGGAGUGAAAAAGAACCUGAAACCGUGUACGUACAAGCAGUGGGAGCCUCUUUAUGGGGUGACUGCGUACCUUUUGUAUAAUGGGUCAGCGACUUAUAUUCUGUAGCAAGGUUAACCGAAUAGGGGAGCCGAAGGGAAACCGAGUCUUAACUGGGCGUUAAGUUGCAGGGUAUAGACCCGAAACCCGGUGAUCUAGCCAUGGGCAGGUUGAAGGUUGGGUAACACUAACUGGAGGACCGAACCGACUAAUGUUGAAAAAUUAGCGGAUGACUUGUGGCUGGGGGUGAAAGGCCAAUCAAACCGGGAGAUAGCUGGUUCUCCCCGAAAGCUAUUUAGGUAGCGCCUCGUGAAUUCAUCUUCGGGGGUAGAGCACUGUUUCGGCUAGGGGGUCAUCCCGACUUACCAACCCGAUGCAAACUGCGAAUACCGAAGAAUGUUAUCACGGGAGACA